Molecule: ribosomal RNA, 254 nt
Filed under: uncultured bacterium
Lineage: Bacteria
Description: partial 16S ribosomal RNA
Rfam family: Bacterial small subunit ribosomal RNA
Source: RNAcentral
UACGGGGGGAGCAAGCGUUGUUCGGAUUUACUGGGCGUAAAGGGCGCGUAGGCGGCGCAACAAGUCACUUGUGAAAUCUCCACGCUCAACGUGGAGGCGCCACGUGAGACUGCCCUGACUCGAGUCCGGUAGGGGAGCGUGGAAUUCCCGGUGUAGCGGUGAAAUGCGCAGAGAUCGGGAGGAACACCCGUAGCGAAGGCGGCGCUCUGGGCCGGUACUGACGCUGAGGAGCGAAAGCGUGGGGAGCAAACAGG